ACAUGCAAGUCGAGGGGCAGCACGUUAAAGAGUUUACUCUUUAUGGUGGCGACCGGCGGACGGGUGCGUAACGCGUAUGCAACCUGCCUGACACAGGGGGAUAGCCUUUCGAAAGAAAGAUUAAUACCCGAUGGCAUAGUUCUUCCGCAUGGUAGAACUAUUAAAGAAUUUCGGUUAUCGAUGGGGAUGCGUUCCAUUAGUUUGUUGGCGGGGUAACGGCCCACCAAGACUACGAUGGAUAGGGGUUCUGAGAGGAAGGUCCCCACAUUGGAACUGAGACACGGUCCAAACUCC
This 294-nucleotide ribosomal RNA is filed under the name uncultured Bacteroides sp. RNAcentral's name for it is "partial 16S ribosomal RNA". It matches the Rfam family "Bacterial small subunit ribosomal RNA", at positions 53 to 339 of the family's 1533-position model. Lineage: Bacteria; Pseudomonadati; Bacteroidota; Bacteroidia; Bacteroidales; Bacteroidaceae. The record is from RNAcentral.